AUGGCUACAACAGGUAAGUUGAGGCGUGUGUUUGAUGGUGACGGGCUGCUUGAUGAGGAGGAGUUCCUGAGGCUGGUGCGUGAGACGGAGUCCGGCCAGGAGGAAGAGGGAGACAGGUGCAAGGAGGCGUUCGGGAUGUACAAGAUGGAAGGGAGGGGCUGCAUCACCCCACACAGCCUCGAGCUGAUGAUGAGCAGGCUGGGGCUGCACCUGAACGUUGACGAGUGCCAGGCCAUGAUCCGCCGGUUCGACCUCAACGGCGACGGGGUGCUCACCAUUGACGAGUUCAAAACCAUGAUGAUGAUGAUGGCAUGA
This 315-nucleotide ribosomal RNA is filed under the name Triticum aestivum (bread wheat). RNAcentral describes it as "partial small subunit ribosomal RNA". Lineage: Eukaryota; Viridiplantae; Streptophyta; Magnoliopsida; Poales; Poaceae. The record is from RNAcentral.